RNAcentral lists this ribosomal RNA (596 nucleotides) under uncultured bacterium. RNAcentral's name for it is "partial 16S ribosomal RNA". It matches the Rfam family "Bacterial small subunit ribosomal RNA", at positions 788 to 1383 of the family's 1533-position model. The record is from RNAcentral.
UGGUAGUNCACGCCGUAAACGAUGAGUGCUAGGUGUUAGGCCCUUUCCGGGGCUUAGUGCCGGAGCUAACGCAAUAAGCACUCCGCCUGGGGAGUACGACCGCAAGGUUGAAACUCAAAGGAAUUGACGGGGGCCCGCACAAGCGGUGGAGCAUGUGGUUUAAUUCGAAGCAACGCGAAGAACCUUACCAGGUCUUGACAUCCCGAUGCUAUUCUUAGAGAUAGGAAGUUACUUCGGUACAUCGGAGACAGGUGGUGCAUGGUUGUCGUCAGCUCGUGUCGUGAGAUGUUGGGUUAAGUNNNNNNNNNNNNCGCAACCCUUAUUGUUAGUUGCCAUCAUUAAGUUGGGCACUCUAGCGAGACUGCCGGUAAUAAACCGGAGGAAGGUGGGGAUGACGUCAAAUCAUCAUGCCCCUUAUGACCUGGGCUACACACGUGCUACAAUGGUCGGUACAACGAGUUGCGAGCCGGUGACGGCAAGCUAAUCUCUGAAAGCCGAUCUCAGUUCGGAUUGGAGGCUGCAACUCGCCUCCAUGAAGUCGGAAUCGCUAGUAAUCGCGGAUCAGCACGCCGCGGUGAAUACGUUCCCGGGCCUNG